Humulus lupulus (European hop) is the source of this 436-nucleotide long non-coding RNA. RefSeq lists it as uncharacterized. Lineage: Eukaryota; Viridiplantae; Streptophyta; Magnoliopsida; Rosales; Cannabaceae. The transcript has 4 exons. The record is from RefSeq and is a predicted model, not a curated record.
AUCCAUGCUUGUCUUAGAGAUGUAUUCUUCUCACGUGCAAACCUACAGUGUGCCAAGUUCCGGGUCAGUGUUCUACAAGUGUCCAGCCUUCCAUGUACACAUUCCUAGACCACCAAGUGGAGUUCAUUAUCCAAAUAAGUCUAUCAUCAAGAAGCAUGUUAAACCCACACCAUUUUUUUGGCAUGAGAAGUCUGCUGUUGUUGGACGGUUGCAUUCUUUAAGCUAAACAAAUGGACUCACAACAAAGACAAGUGCACAAAGGAUGAUGAAUUGAAGGAUGGAGCAAGUUUCACGCAUGGUUUACUUUUGUGUAUCUUGUAAUGUUUCUAUUUUUCAUUUUUGAAGUAAAAAUUGUUCAAGAUUAUAAAACUUUAUUAUGUUAUGCUUUCAAACUUAAGUUAGAACUAAGAUCUCAUGAAGUAGACACAUUCAUGGU